CAUAAGUAGUAUAAAAAAUAUAUUAGAUUUAGGUUCUAAAGAUAAUAAAAUUAUGUUA
Molecule: transfer RNA, 58 nt
Filed under: Macropostrongyloides yamagutii
Lineage: Eukaryota; Metazoa; Nematoda; Chromadorea; Rhabditida; Strongylidae
Description: tRNA-Leu
Source: RNAcentral